This is a non-coding RNA of Lactuca sativa (garden lettuce), 2223 nucleotides long. NCBI's taxonomy places the organism in Eukaryota, Viridiplantae, Streptophyta, Magnoliopsida, Asterales, Asteraceae. The record is from RefSeq and is a predicted model, not a curated record.
UUGUGUAUUUUUUGGUAGUCUUUCUUUUCCUCCUCUUUCUUUCUUCUUGAGAAGCAACUGCCUUAGAUUUCCCCACCGCCUCUUCACCUUCCUCCCGGAGUAUAUGGUCAGCUGAAUGUGUAGUCUUUGCAUGUUGCUGAAUAUAUGCUCCAAUUGAAGCAAGCAACUUAUUUUUUGGUCCAAUUAAUUGGCCGGUGUUCACAUGAGGGGUAUUAAUCGAUUGUGAAGCCUUAAAUCAAAGUUGUUCAUCUGCAUAUAUGUCAAAGACCUAAUUGGAUUUGUUAUUUCCAUCUCUAACUAGAAGUCACCUGGUUGAUGCUUUAGUGACGCAGGCCGCCGCCCAUCGCUUAUAUCAUAUGCUUCUGAUCGUUAGCAAAAGACUUCAUGCAUGUCGAUUUAAGGUAUGUCAGCUGUGCCUCCACCACGUCUUCCAAUUUCUGAACCAGUUGACAUGGUGCUUACUUCUUAAAAAACAAACCCUUUUUGAUGGUUGAUUUGCGCUGGAAACAGCGGUCCAAGAUGACGUCUCCGACUUCCCAGUUGCAGGUAGUUUUCUCUCUUGCACUAGGUAUGGCGUUCAGGGACCGCUAACGUCUCUCCGUCCCAGAUAUAUGAUGUUAUCUGUUUGCCUGAUUCACCAGCUUGCUAUCUUGCGCGUGCAUACCUCCCUCUUAAGAAAACUGAUAUUAUUCUUAUUUAUUUUUUCCGACGACACCGUUGCCUCUCUUGUUCCCGAGAAACAUGAUCUUAAACCUAAUCUCCUCAAAUCACUCUCAGUGAAUAGUGAAGUUUGUUAUUGAGGAAGCCUUGCCAUUUAGAGUUUGGAUGGGUGUUAUAUUUUGAGUAAAAGAAUUUGAUCAUGGCAACUCUGGACGUUUUCUGAGGAAGAAGACUUGGAGAGAAGUUGAGAUUAAUGCCCCUCUUCCCGACUUUCGUUUCAUUCCCUCUGGUUUCCUUUUCCCUAAUUCUUUAUUUUUUAAAGCUGCAAAAUAUCAUUAACAACUUCUCCCUAAUCUUUUCCACCUUGAAUUUUUUAUUCAACUUCAAUGGUGUCGGAUGUAACAAGCCCUCACAGAGUUGAAUACAUAAAGAGAUUAAGGGAUUUAGAUUUAUGUUGAUACCCUUCGGUUCUCUUUCUUCUAACAGCUCCUUUUUAUGCUUAUUUUCUUUUUAGCUAUUUAUCAAUUGGUUAUUUUAUUGAUAGAAAAUGUUACGGAUUUGGGGAACAUAUGGUUGCUUUUGGAUGUCAAAGACUUGUUUUACAGGACCCAAUCUGUGGUUUUUUAGUUUCCGAAAUGCAGGUAGCUCGCCUUCGGUAAUUGGUCUUGGAAGAAUUACCAAUUACAUUGGAUAAGUACUAAUUAACUACUGGUAUGUUAUUUGCAGAAUGGAUAUUUCCUAUCUAAAAGUAGAUUUAGAAACAUAUAAACUUGAUGAAUCCCUUUAACUUGACUAACAUAUGGUAUAAAAAAAUCUUCUACAUUGAGUAGAUAGACACACAACUGAUAGAAUUGCUUUCUAUCUCUGAAGGUCCAAUACUCCAACUCUAAUUUAAGGAGUCGGUGAGUGCCCUUUCACACCAAAUUUAAAGAAGCUCCAUGAAAUUUGGUCUAACUAGGGAAGACAUAACAAGGAUCUUUUGUCAUUUUGUUUUUUAAUUUUCAUAAUUUUGAAGCUUGAAAUUUGGAGAUUGAGAUGGAAAAUAAGAGUUACUAAUUUUUUACAAUUAUGUCAAAAUGGUUGAAAUUAAGCAGUUUCCCUCGAUAUUUUUCCCUCUUUUGGCUUUUCUUUUUUGGUAUUAUUUUCCAAUAAAAGAAGAGGUAUUGGUGGAGUUGUUUUGAAGUUGGAAGUGGUUACAGCAGAAGAACUAGCUGCUAACUUAUUGUUUUCCAUUGAUGAAAACAUCGGUGGUGGAGGUUCUUUUGCACAGGUCACUGAACGAUUUCAAUCAUGUGCUUCAUGUUUUUUUUUUUUUUUUUGUCAAAGUGUAUGCCUUUUAGAGAAGAUGACCUAGCCUUUUAAUCCGAGUCUUAUAAUCAAUAAACAUGUUGCAGGUGGUUGCUGUUGAUAGAUAUAAUUUGGUGCUUCAUUCAUAGUACUAUCUACCAGUAAUGAAAUUUUAUUGAUAUUUUUCUUUGGUUUUAAAUUUAAGGCAUUUAUGAAGUUGAAUCUAUAAAACCUAAUGAUGGAGGGAUUGAUUUUUAAUAACUUCGAAUUUUUAGU